GUUGACCUCGGAUCAGGUAGGAAUACCCGCUGAACUUAAGCAUAUCAAUAAGCGGAAGA
Molecule: ribosomal RNA, 59 nt
Filed under: Colletotrichum gloeosporioides
Lineage: Eukaryota; Fungi; Ascomycota; Sordariomycetes; Glomerellales; Glomerellaceae
Description: partial 28S ribosomal RNA
Source: RNAcentral